RNAcentral lists this ribosomal RNA (119 nucleotides) under Carlito syrichta (Philippine tarsier). Lineage: Eukaryota; Metazoa; Chordata; Mammalia; Primates; Tarsiidae. The record is from RNAcentral.
AUCUACGGCCAUACCACCCUGAAUGCGCCCGAUCUUGUCUGAUCUCAGAAGCUAAGCAGGGUCGGCCCUGGUUAGUACUUGAAUGGAAGACUGCCUGGGAAUACCGGGUGCUGUAGGCU